GCUUACGGCCACGACGCCUGCUUAAUGCCCGAUCUCGUUUGAUCUCGGAAGCUAAGAUAGGUUGGGCCUGGUUAGUACUUGGAUGGGAGACCGCCUGGGGUUACCAGGUGCUGUAAGCU
Molecule: ribosomal RNA, 119 nt
Organism: Scophthalmus maximus (turbot)
Lineage: Eukaryota; Metazoa; Chordata; Actinopteri; Pleuronectiformes; Scophthalmidae
Source: Ensembl